GAUGAACGCUGGCGGCAUGCUUAACACGUGCCAGUCGGACGGGAAGUGGUGUUUCUAGUGGCGGACGGGAGAGUAACGCGUAAGAAUCUGCCCUUGGGAGGGGAACAACAACUGGAAACGGUUGCUAAUACCCCGUAGGCAGAGGAGCAAAAGGAGGAAUCCGCCCGAGGAGGGGCUUGCGUCUGAUUAGCUAGUUGGUGAGGUAAUAGCUUACCAAGGCGAUGAUCAGUAGCUGGUCCGGGAGGAUGAUCAACCACACUGGGACUGAGACACGGCCCAGACUCCUAGGGGAAGCAGCAGUGGGGAAUUUACCGCAAUGGGCGAAAGCCUGACGGAGCAAUGCCGCGUGGAGGUAGAAGGCCCACGGGUCGUGAACUUCUGUUCUCGGAGAAGAAACAAUGACGGUAUCUGGUGAAUAAGCAUCGGCUAACUCUGUG
This 437-nucleotide ribosomal RNA is filed under the name uncultured bacterium. RNAcentral describes it as "partial 16S ribosomal RNA". It matches the Rfam family "Bacterial small subunit ribosomal RNA", at positions 28 to 507 of the family's 1533-position model. The record is from RNAcentral.